AGCAGCCGCGGUAAUUCCAGCUCCAAUAGCGUAUAUUAAAGUUGUUGCAGUUAAAAAGCUCGUAGUUGAAUUUCGGGAUCAGAUUGUCGGUCGUGCCUCGGUACGCACUGGCAUUAUUGGUUCCUACCUUCUGAAGAACCGCGAUGUCAUUAAUUUGGUGUCGUGGGGAAUCAGGACUGUUACUUUGAAAAAAUUAGAGUGUUUAAAGCAGGCGCACGCUUGAAUACAUUAGCAUGGAAUAAUGAAAUAGGACGUUUGAUUCUAUUUUGUUGGUUUCUAGGAUCGACGUAAUGAUUAAUAGGGAUAGUUGGGGGCAUUAGUAUUCAAUUGUCAGAGGUGAAAUUCUUGGAUUUAUUGAAGACUAACUACUGCGAAAGCAUUUGCCAAGGAUGUUUUCAUUAAUCAAGAACGAAAGUUAGGGGAUCGAAGACGAUCAGAUACCGUCGUAGUCUUAACCAUAAACUAUGCCGACUAGGGAUCGGAUGAUGUUGAUUUUAUAAUGACUCA
This 507-nucleotide ribosomal RNA is filed under the name Glomus sp. Glo4. RNAcentral describes it as "SSU rRNA". It matches the Rfam family "Eukaryotic small subunit ribosomal RNA", at positions 569 to 1078 of the family's 1831-position model. Lineage: Eukaryota; Fungi; Glomeromycota; Glomeromycetes; Glomerales; Glomeraceae. The record is from RNAcentral.